Molecule: long non-coding RNA, 1147 nt
Organism: Contarinia nasturtii (swede midge)
Lineage: Eukaryota; Metazoa; Arthropoda; Insecta; Diptera; Cecidomyiidae
Exons: 4
Source: RefSeq, a predicted model, not a curated record
UCGCAUUUUUAAUCAGUUCGAUGUUCGAUUGUGUAUCUGUGCGGAUUCUUUUUUUUUCUCAUUCUGUGUCGAUUUCAGCUCUGACAUCUCCGGCAGAGUGACACAUUUUUGCGCCUAAUAAGUCACAUUGUGUUUUAGUAAAUAGCCACCAGUCAACUAAUUCGAAAACGUAAUUAUCGCAUUUUUUGUGUGUUUGCUGGAAAUUUUGUUUGUACUGUCGUUUGGGAAUUGACGCAACAAAAAUAAGAAUAAACAAACAACAUCAAAAGACCAACAUUUGAAAAACGAUUCUUUUUUUAUGAAUCAGAACUGCUAAUGUAGUUGUUGUGUGCAUUUAAUUAAAUCGUUGACGACUCGUAGCUUACGACGAAAAAAAAAACAACAACAGAUAUAUAAAUUUAAGUUAUUUGUAAUCUGUUUGUCGAAUUGUCGUUUAUUUUUUUGUCCAUUUGCAUUAUUUUUAUUCUCGCUGUCAUUCCUGAUGACAAUUAUAUUAUUGUUUAUUUGUUAUGACUACAACAAAAAUAAAAAUGUUGAUUUGCAAGCCAUAAUAUCGAAUAACAUGAUGGAAGAAUAUUGGCGGUCCAAAAUCGUUGAUGCAAUCUUUUUCGGUAUACCGAAUGCACAGCCAUCGGUCGGAACAUGAGCUUGCUGCAUUAGUGGAAACAAUGUCAAUGGGAUAUCCAAUGCGAAUGAGCACACGUUGGUUUUUGUUUUUAAAUUUCAUUACAUCACUUUGACGAUACAUUUAGUGGAAUUUUCGGACGGAAUGUCGAAUGAUUAUUCGGACGGAAUGUAGUUACAGUAGUGUCGGUGACGAUAUCAACACCAGAUACAGCAUAAUGAACCCAUUUCCAAACAACCAUUCACGCAACAAAAAUGGCCAUCAACCAGAUUUUGUGAACUUUGUUAGAACAAUGUCGGGAAUCGGAUCUAGUGUAUAAAUCGCAUAAAUAGAAAGAUAAUCAGAAUCAGGAUGAUUGCGGGUGAACGUGGACACAAGUGAGUUGACGAUAAUGCACACACCGUUCGAUACUGUCCACAACGUGAGAUGUUCAUUCCGUCUCGGCAUUGAAUUUUUUGUUACAACAAAUAACUGAAUCGAUUCAGUUGCGUUUACAAUAAUUAUUUCUUGUAGAAACACAAA